CUACGUGCCAGCAGCCGCGGUAAUACGGAAGGUCCGGGCGUUAUCCGGAUUUAUUGGGUUUAAAGGGAGUGUAGGCGGUCUGUUAAGCGUGUUGUGAAAUUUAGGUGCUCAACAUUUAACUUGCAGCGCGAACUGUCAGACUUGAGUACACGCAGCGCAGGCGGAAUUCAUGGUGUAGCGGUGAAAUGCUUAGAUAUCAUGAGGAACUCCGAUCGCGAAGGCAGCCUGCGGGAGUGUUACUGACGCCUAAGCUCGAAGGUGCGGGUAUCAAACAGGAUUAGAUACCCUGGUAGUCCGCACAGUAAACGAUGGAUGCCCGCUGUUGGUACCUGGUAUCAGCGGCUAAGCGAAAGCAUUAAGCAUCCCACCUGGGGAGUACGCCGGCAACGGUGAAACUCAAAGGAAUUGACGGGGGCCCGCACAAGCGGAGGAACAUGUGGUUUAAUUCGAUGAUACGCGAGGAACCUUACCCGGGCU
Molecule: ribosomal RNA, 477 nt
Filed under: uncultured bacterium
Lineage: Bacteria
Description: bacterial SSU rRNA
Rfam family: Bacterial small subunit ribosomal RNA
Source: RNAcentral